Molecule: ribosomal RNA, 253 nt
Filed under: uncultured bacterium
Lineage: Bacteria
Description: partial 16S ribosomal RNA
Rfam family: Bacterial small subunit ribosomal RNA
Source: RNAcentral
UACGUAGGGUGCGGGCGUUAAUCGGAAUUACUGGGCGUAAAGCGUGCGCAGGCGGUUCGUUAAGUCAGAUGUGAAAGCCCCGGGCUCAACCUGGGAACUGCAUUUGAAACUGGCGGGCUUGAGUGUGGCAGAGGGGGGUGGAAUUCCGCGUGUAGCAGUGAAAUGCGUAGAGAUGCGGAGGAACACCGAAGGCGAAGGCAACCCCCUGGGCUGACACUGACGCUCAGGCACGAAAGCGUGGGGAGCAAACAGG